AGUGAACGCUGGCGGUAGGCCUAACACAUGCAAGUCGAACGGCAGCACAGUAAGAGCUUGCUCUUACGGGUGGCGAGUGGCGGACGGGUGAGGAAUACAUCGGAAUCUGCUUUUUCGUGGGGGAUAACGUAGGGAAACUUACGCUAAUACCGCAUACGACCUACGGGUGAAAGCAGGGGGUCUUCGGACCUUGCGCGAUUGAAUGAGCCGAUGUCGGAUUAGCUAGUUGGCGGGGUAAGGGCCCACCAAGGCGACGAUCCGUAGCUGGUCUGAGAGGAUGAUCAGCCACACUGGAACUGAGACACGGUCCAGACUCCUACGGGAGGCAGCAGUGGGGAAUAUUGGACAAUGGGCGCAAGCCUGAUCCAGCCAUACCGCGUGGGUGAAGAAGGCCUUCGGGUUGUAAAGCCCUUUUGUUGGGAAAGAAAAGCAGCAGGUUAAUACCCCGCUGUUCUGACGGUACCCAAAGAAUAAGCACCGGCUAACUUCGUG
This 492-nucleotide ribosomal RNA is filed under the name uncultured bacterium. RNAcentral's name for it is "partial 16S ribosomal RNA". It matches the Rfam family "Bacterial small subunit ribosomal RNA", at positions 29 to 507 of the family's 1533-position model. The record is from RNAcentral.